This 253-nucleotide ribosomal RNA is filed under the name uncultured bacterium. Its description in RNAcentral is "partial 16S ribosomal RNA". It matches the Rfam family "Bacterial small subunit ribosomal RNA", at positions 524 to 776 of the family's 1533-position model. The record is from RNAcentral.
UACGGAGGGUGCAAACGUUGCUCGGAAUCAUUGGGCGUAAAGCGCACGUAGGCGGUCCCGUAAGUCGGAUGUGAAAGCCCUCGGCUCAACCGAGGAAGUGCAUUCGAAACUGCUGGGCUUGAGUACGGAAGAGGGUCUCGGAAUUCCCGGUGUAGAGGUGAAAUUCGUAGAUAUCGGGAGGAACACCAGUGGCGAAGGCGGAGACCUGGGCCGAUACUGACGCUGAGGUGCGAAAGCGUGGGGAGCAAACAGG